Mauremys reevesii (Reeves's turtle) is the source of this 272-nucleotide long non-coding RNA. RefSeq lists it as uncharacterized. The record is from RefSeq and is a predicted model, not a curated record. The transcript has 3 exons. NCBI's taxonomy places the organism in Eukaryota, Metazoa, Chordata, Testudines, Geoemydidae.
AGGAAAACACCAUACAAUCAAGCAGCAUCAGACACAAGGAGGAUCCUGUGUCCCUUUUCUUUGGGAACAUUUUCUUCAUGGUUCAGCAGGACAUGGAGGCUGAUGGUGCAUGAAAACAUAUCACAUUGGCUUGCCUCCCCCACAAGCAGGCAGUUCUAGAAAAGAGUAAAAGGAUCCAACCAGUAAACGGAGACCUUAAAAACUGAGGCUAGAAAUGAGAAGGGAAUUUCCCUUUACAUUGUAAGGUUCUUUGAUGUUCUGAGGUUCCACUG